CCAAACCGGGAUUCGCCUCAGUAACGGCGAGUGAAGCGGCAAAAGCUCAAAUUUGGAAAUCUGGUACCUUCGGUGCCCGAGUUGUAAUUUGUAAAGGGCGACUUUGGGGCGGCUCCUUGUCUAUGUUCCUUGGAACAGGACGUCGUAAAGGGUGAAAAUCCCGUGUGGCGAGGAGUGGGGUUCCGUGUAAAGCGCUCUCGAAGAGUCGAGUUGUUUGGGAAUA
This 223-nucleotide ribosomal RNA is filed under the name Maudiozyma exigua. RNAcentral describes it as "Kazachstania exigua partial 26S ribosomal RNA". It matches the Rfam family "Eukaryotic large subunit ribosomal RNA", at positions 65 to 282 of the family's 3401-position model. Lineage: Eukaryota; Fungi; Ascomycota; Saccharomycetes; Saccharomycetales; Saccharomycetaceae. The record is from RNAcentral.